Molecule: ribosomal RNA, 119 nt
Organism: Aotus nancymaae (Ma's night monkey)
Lineage: Eukaryota; Metazoa; Chordata; Mammalia; Primates; Aotidae
Source: Ensembl
GUCUAUGGCCAUACCACCCUGAAUACACCCGAUCUCGUCAGAUCUCAGAAGCAAAGCAGGGUCGGGCCUAGUUAGUACUUGGAUGGGAGACCGCCUGGGAAUACCGGGUGCCAUAGGCU